ACUGAGCCAUCUAGCAAGGCAACAACUGAGCAGCUCAGACUCGUGGCAAAGCUGACAUUUGAAACCAGUUGGGUGUUCCCAUCCUGCAUUUUUUGUACCAACUAAAGUAUUACAAAGCCUUAGGAUUCAUACAUUUGUCCACGUCUAUGUUUUAAGAAGAGAAAGACAGAAUUUCCUGAAAGGAUUUUGGCAGACAUGGAUUACUGUUAAAAUCCAACCCGGAAAUUGAAGCAAUCCUAAGCAUCUUUGUUUACCAGCAUUACCGCUCCAAACCAUCUGUACUUAAUUGUAAAACAACAAAUUGUCUAAAAACCAGUGAGGAUUAAAAGGACAAAGCUUCUUAUGGACAGUUUAUAUUAAAGAAAUUCAAAGACUGCUAAGAUCACAGCACUCCUCGUGUAGUUGUUUUAUUUCAGUCAAGUCCCAAUGUUUGUG
Molecule: long non-coding RNA, 435 nt
Filed under: Dromaius novaehollandiae (emu)
Lineage: Eukaryota; Metazoa; Chordata; Aves; Casuariiformes; Dromaiidae
Description: lncRNA (ENSDNVG00000008984.1)
Source: RNAcentral